RNAcentral lists this ribosomal RNA (3060 nucleotides) under Paenibacillus sp. PK4536. RNAcentral's name for it is "23S ribosomal RNA". It matches the Rfam family "Bacterial large subunit ribosomal RNA". The record is from RNAcentral. Lineage: Bacteria; Bacillati; Bacillota; Bacilli; Caryophanales; Paenibacillaceae.
GGUUAAGCUACUAAGAGCACACGGUGGAUGCCUAGGCGCUAGGAGCCGAUGAAGGACGUGGCGAACAACGAUAAGGCCUCGGGGAGCUGUAAGCAAGCUGUGAUCCGGGGAUGUCCGAAUGGGGAAACCUAACUGGAUUCAUCUCCAGUUACUCACACCUGAAUACAUAGGGUGUGCAGAGGCAGACGAGGGGAACUGAAACAUCUAAGUACCCUCAGGAAAAGAAAACAAGAGUGAUUCCGUCAGUAGCGGCGAGCGAACGCGGAACAGCCCAAACCAAGAAGCUUGCUUCUUGGGGUUGUGGGACGUCUCUUUGGAGUUACAAAGGAAUGAGGUAGGCGAAGAGGUCUGGAAAGGCCCGCAAGACAAGGUGAAAGCCCUGUAGCUUAAAUCUCAUUCUCUCCGAGACGGAUCCCGAGUAGUGCGGGGCACGUGAAACCCCGUAUGAAUCUGCCAGGACCAUCUGGUAAGGCUAAAUACUCCCUAGCGACCGAUAGUGAAGCAGUACCGUGAGGGAAAGGUGAAAAGGACCCCGGAAGGGGAGUGAAAUAGAACCUGAAACCGUGUGCUUACAAAAAGUCAGAGCCCUAUGAAUGGGUGAUGGCGUGCCUUUUGUAGAAUGAACCGGCGAGUUACGUUCCCGUGCAAGGUUAAGGUGAAAAGCCGGAGCCGCAGCGAAAGCGAGUCUGAAUAGGGCGACUGAGUACGUGGACGUAGACCCGAAACCAGGUGAUCUACCCCUGUCCAGGGUGAAGGUACGGUAACACGUACUGGAGGCCCGAACCCACGCACGUUGAAAAGUGCGGGGAUGAGGUGGGGGUAGCGGAGAAAUUCCAAUCGAACCUGGAGAUAGCUGGUUCUCCCCGAAAUAGCUUUAGGGCUAGCCUCGGAAGUUGAGUCGUGGAGGUAGAGCACUGAUUGGAUGCGGGGCCCGCAAGGGUUACCAAGUUCAGUCAAACUCCGAAUGCCACAGACUUUAUUCCGGGAGUCAGACAGUGAGUGCUAAGAUCCAUUGUCGAAAGGGAAACAGCCCAGACCAUCAGCUAAGGUCCCCAAGUGUGUGUUAAGUGGGAAAGGAUGUGAAGUUGCACAGACAACCAGGAUGUUGGCUUAGAAGCAGCCACCAUUGAAAGAGUGCGUAAUAGCUCACUGGUCGAGUGACUUUGCGCCGAAAAUGUAACGGGGCUAAACACACCACCGAAGCUAUGGCUUGAUACUUUGUAUCAGGGGUAGGGGAGCGUUGAAUGAAGAUUGAAGGUGUACCGCAAGGAGCGCUGGACCUCAUUCAAGUGAGAAUGCCGGUAUGAGUAACGAAAAGAUCAGUGAGAAUCUGAUCCGCCGAAAACCCAAGGAUUCCUGAGGAAGGCUCGUCCUCUCAGGGUAAGUCGGGACCUAAGGCGAGGCCGAAAGGCGUAGUCGACGGACAACAGGUUGAAAUUCCUGUACCACCGAAAGCCGUUAUGAGCAAUGGGAUGACGCAGGAGGAUAGUGACGCGGACUGAUGGAUGUCCGUUCAAGCAGUGAGGCUGAUAUGUAGGCAAAUCCGCAUAUCGCAAGGCCAGGCUGUGAUGAGGAGCGAAAAUUGUAGUAGCGAAGGUCAUGAUUUCACACUGCCAAGAAAAGUCUCUAGCCAGGAAGCAGGUGCCCGUACCGUAAACCGACACAGGUGGGUGAGAAGAGANNNNNNNNNNAAGGCCAGGCUGUGAUGAGGAGCGAAAAUUGUAGUAGCGAAGGUCAUGAUUUCACACUGCCAAGAAAAGUCUCUAGCCAGGAAGCAGGUGCCCGUACCGUAAACCGACACAGGUGGGUGAGAAGAGAAUUCUAAGGCGCGCGGAAGAACUCUCGUUAAGGAACUCGGCAAAAUGACCCCGUAACUUCGGGAGAAGGGGUGCCCCGGUAGUGUGAAUAGCACGAGGGGGCCGCAGUGAAAAGGCCCAAGCGACUGUUUAGCAAAAACACAGGUCUGUGCGAAGCCGCAAGGCGAAGUAUACGGGCUGACGCCUGCCCGGUGCUGGAAGGUUAAGGGGAGUGGUUAGCGCAAGCGAAGCUAUGAACCGAAGCCCCAGUAAACGGCGGCCGUAACUAUAACGGUCCUAAGGUAGCGAAAUUCCUUGUCAGGUAAAUUCUGACCCGCACGAAUGGCGUAACGAUUUGGGCGCUGUCUCAACGAGAGAUCCGGUGAAAUUUUAAUACCUGUGAAGAUGCAGGUUACCCGCGACAAGACGGAAAGACCCCAUGGAGCUUUACUGCAACUUGAUAUUGAACUGGGGUGCGAUUUGUACAGGAUAGGUGGGAGCCGUAGAAACCGGAGCGCAAGCUUCGGUUGAGGCGCCGUUGGGAUACCACCCUGAUCGCAUUUGAGUUCUAACCUCGUACCGUGAUCCGGUACAGGGACCGUGUCAGGUGGGCAGUUUGACUGGGGCGGUCGCCUCCUAAAGUGUAACGGAGGCGCCCUAAGGUUCCCUCAGAAUGGUUGGAAAUCAUUCGAAGAGUGUAAAGGCAUAAGGGAGCUUGACUGCGAGACAGACACGUCGAGCAGGGACGAAAGUCGGGCUUAGUGAUCCGGUGGUACCGCAUGGAAGGGCCAUCGCUCAACGGAUAAAAGCUACCCUGGGGAUAACAGGCUUAUCUCCCCCAAGAGUCCACAUCGACGGGGAGGUUUGGCACCUCGAUGUCGGCUCAUCGCAUCCUGGGGCUGAAGUAGGUCCCAAGGGUUGGGCUGUUCGCCCAUUAAAGCGGUACGCGAGCUGGGUUCAGAACGUCGUGAGACAGUUCGGUCCCUAUCUGUCGUGGGCGUAGGAAAUUUGAGAGGAGCUGUCCUUAGUACGAGAGGACCGGGAUGGACGCACCGCUGGUGUACCAGUUGUUCCGCCAGGAGCAUCGCUGGGUAGCUACGUGCGGAAGGGAUAAGCGCUGAAAGCAUCUAAGCGUGAAGCCCCCCUCAAGAUGAGAUUUCCCAGUAUGUAAGACCCCUUGUAGACGACGAGGUUGAUAGGUUGGGGGUGGAAGUGCCGCAAGGCAUGGAGCUGACCAAUACUAAUCGGUCGAGGGCUUAUCCAA